AUUGAAUCAUGGGGGCAGGUCUUUCCUGUGCUGUUCUCAUGAUAGUGAAUAAGUUUCGUGAGAUCUGAUGAUUUUAUAAAGGGAAGUUUCCCUGCAUGUGCUCUCUUGCCUGCUGCCACGUAAGACAUGGCUUUGCUCCUGCUUCAUCUUCUGCCGUGAUUGUCCACCUCCUUUGAUCCACACGAUAUCCUUCAUGAGGAAGAUAUCAGCAUCCGCAUUAUAUGGACAAAGACAGCAGAGACUCAGAGAAAUGAAGCACGCACCAGUGCUUAGUCAAGUCAAAAUGUUCUGAACUCUGGCUCGCCCUCAGCCUGAGCCGCAAAAUAGUCUGGCCUCGGAGAAACAGUCUUCAGUUUCCUAUAGGAUCGUGCCACCCAUUCAUCCCCCUUCUCAUUCAUUCUUGCCUGUUUACUCCUCUCUAUGAAAGAAAACCCCUGUUUGCCUAACUCUUGGGGAUGCCUGCAGAUCUUGGGGUCAGAGAAGCUCCCUGCUGCAAUAAUCGCUUUCCCCACUCUGCAAUAAUCCUUUUAAAUAAAAUCUUUCCUUACUAAGUCCAGAUUUCUUUUUUAUUUGACAAUGACCACAGGCAAGUGAUUUCACUGCAGUUUCCUCCAUCUGUAAAGUAAGAAAAAU
This 633-nucleotide long non-coding RNA is filed under the name Homo sapiens (human). Its description in RNAcentral is "HSALNT0365063". Lineage: Eukaryota; Metazoa; Chordata; Mammalia; Primates; Hominidae. The record is from RNAcentral.